This 807-nucleotide ribosomal RNA is filed under the name Campylobacter coli. RNAcentral describes it as "partial 23S ribosomal RNA". It matches the Rfam family "Bacterial large subunit ribosomal RNA", at positions 1 to 822 of the family's 2925-position model. Lineage: Bacteria; Pseudomonadati; Campylobacterota; Epsilonproteobacteria; Campylobacterales; Campylobacteraceae. The record is from RNAcentral.
AAAAAAGGUAAGCUACUAAGAGCGAAUGGUGGAUGCCUUGACUGGUAAAGGCGAUGAAGGACGUACUAGACUGCGAUAAGCUACGGGGAGCUGUCAAGAAGCUUUGAUCCGUAGAUUUCCGAAUGGGGCAACCCAAUGUAUAGAGAUAUACAUUACCUAUAUAGGAGCGAACGAGGGGAAUUGAAACAUCUUAGUACCCUCAGGAAAAGAAAUCAAUAGAGAUUGCGUCAGUAGCGGCGAGCGAAAGCGUAAGAGGGCAAACCCAGUGCUUGCACUGGGGGUUGUAGGACUGCAAUGUGCAAGAGGUGAGUUUAGCAGAACAUUCUGGAAAGUAUAGCCAUAGAGGGUGAUAGUCCCGUAUGCGAAAAACAAACCUUAGCUAGCAGUAUCCUGAGUAGGGCGGGACACGAGAAAUCCUGUCUGAAGCUGGGUCGACCACGAUCCAACCCUAAAUACUAAUACCAGAUCGAUAGUGCACAAGUACCGUGAGGGAAAGGUGAAAAGAACUGAGGUGAUCAGAGUGAAAUAGAACCUGAAACCAUUUGCUUACAAUCAUUCAGAGCACUAUGUAGCAAUACAGUGUGAUGGACUGCCUUUUGCAUAAUGAGCCUGCGAGUUGUGGUGUCUGGCAAGGUUAAGCAAACGCGAAGCCGUAGCGAAAGCGAGUCUGAAUAGGGCGCUUAGUCAGAUGCUGCAGACCCGAAACGAAGUGAUCUAUCCAUGAGCAAGUUGAAGCUAGUGUAAGAACUAGUGGAGGACUGAACCCAUAGGCGUUGAAAAGCCCCGGGAUGACUUGUGGAUAGGGGU